Molecule: long non-coding RNA, 599 nt
Filed under: Olea europaea subsp. europaea
Lineage: Eukaryota; Viridiplantae; Streptophyta; Magnoliopsida; Lamiales; Oleaceae
Source: RNAcentral
CGUCAUCUCAUCAGAUUGUGCAAAACCAUAUCAACAGCAACCACCACACACGACGUCAAUGCAAACCCACCACCACACACGACGUCAAUGCAAACCCACCACCACAUCAACUCAAAAUCACCAUCACUAUAACAUACCACCACCGAUCAAAAAAUCACCACCACUAUAAAUUGUAAUCACACCGCCGUCGAUCCACAUCAUCCACACGACCACUGUAAUCACACCACCACCGAUCCACCGCACACCAAAGUCAAAACCAUCAAUCGCGGCACCAUCAGAUCGCGGGUUCAUUGCACAGACCACCACUAUCACCUCCACUACUACCACAAAAUCACCUCAAAAAUCACAUAAAACUGCCAAAAACUCCAUAAAUUCAUCAAAAAAAGAAACAGUAGAAAGAGGAUGGAAUGGUGACUGCAGAUCGAGUGCGAAUAGCGACAUAGGCGUGUCGAGUCUUUCUUCCCCUUUGGUGACUGCGGAUCGACGAUGUUGACUGGCAUCGACGGUGCUCCGGCGAUGACACAGUAGAAAAAGGAUGGUGAGAGGACGAGACGUUAGGGAGAGUUAGAUAGAGAAUGAGAAUUGAGAAGUAAAUUUAG